This 256-nucleotide ribosomal RNA is filed under the name uncultured bacterium. Its description in RNAcentral is "partial 16S ribosomal RNA". It matches the Rfam family "Bacterial small subunit ribosomal RNA", at positions 524 to 776 of the family's 1533-position model. The record is from RNAcentral.
GACGUAGGUGGCGAACGUUAUCCGGAAUUAUUGGGCGUAAAGGGUGCGUAGGUGGUCUGACAAGUUAUUAGUGGGAAAUCGAGGCUCAACCUCGUGGAAGCUAGUAAUACUGUCAGGCUCGAGUGCAGGAGAGGUUAACGGAACUCCCGGUGGAGCGGUAAAAUGCAUAGAUAUCGGGAAGAACACCAAUAACGGCGAAGGCAGUUAACUAUUCUGUUACUGACAUUGAGGCACGAAAGCGUGGGGAGCAAAACGG